AAAUUGAAGAGUUUGAUCAUGGCUCAGAUUGAACGCUGGCGGCAGGCCUAACACAUGCAAGUCGAACGGUAGCACAGAGAGCUUGCUCUCGGGUGACGAGUGGCGGACGGGUGAGUAAUGUCUGGGAAACUGCCCGAUGGAGGGGGAUAACUACUGGAAACGGUAGCUAAUACCGCAUAACGUCGCAAGACCAAAGUGGGGGACCUUCGGGCCUCACACCAUCGGAUGUGCCCAGAUGGGAUUAGCUAGUAGGUGGGGUAACGGCUCACCUAGGCGACGAUCCCUAGCUGGUCUGAGAGGAUGACCAGCCACACUGGAACUGAGACACGGUCCAGACUCCUACGGGAGGCAGCAGUGGGGAAUAUUGCACAAUGGGCGCAAGCCUGAUGCAGCCAUGCCGCGUGUAUGAAGAAGGCCUUCGGGUUGUAAAGUACUUUCAGCGAGGAGGAAGGCGUUGUGGUUAAUAACCACAGCGAUUGACGUUACUCGCAGAAGAAGCACCGGCUAACUCCGUGCCAGCAGCCGCGGUAAUACGGAGGGUGCAAGCGUUAAUCGGAAUUACUGGGCGUAAAGCGCACGCAGGCGGUUUGUUAAGUCAGAUGUGAAAUCCCCGGGCUCAACCUGGGAACUGCAUUUGAAACUGGCAAGCUUGAGUCUCGUAGAGGGGGGUAGAAUUCCAGGUGUAGCGGUGA
Molecule: ribosomal RNA, 692 nt
Filed under: Salmonella enterica subsp. enterica serovar Kentucky
Lineage: Bacteria; Pseudomonadati; Pseudomonadota; Gammaproteobacteria; Enterobacterales; Enterobacteriaceae
Description: bacterial SSU rRNA
Rfam family: Bacterial small subunit ribosomal RNA
Source: RNAcentral